GGGGCUAUAGCUCAGCUGGGAGAGCGCUUGCAUGGCAUGCAAGAGGUCAGCGGUUCGAUCCCGCUUAGC
RNAcentral lists this transfer RNA (69 nucleotides) under Escherichia coli 2-222-05_S1_C1. RNAcentral describes it as "partial tRNA-Ala". It matches the Rfam family "tRNA". Rfam says of the family: Transfer RNA (tRNA) molecules are approximately 80 nucleotides in length. Their secondary structure includes four short double-helical elements and three loops (D, anti-codon, and T loops). Further hydrogen bonds mediate the characteristic L-shaped molecular structure. tRNAs have two regions of fundamental functional importance: the anti-codon, which is responsible for specific mRNA codon recognition, and the 3' end, to which the tRNAs corresponding amino acid is attached (by aminoacyl-tRNA synthetases). tRNAs cope with the degeneracy of the genetic code in two manners: having more than one tRNA (with a specific anti-codon) for a particular amino acid; and 'wobble' base-pairing, i.e. permitting non-standard base-pairing at the 3rd anti-codon position. The record is from RNAcentral. Lineage: Bacteria; Pseudomonadati; Pseudomonadota; Gammaproteobacteria; Enterobacterales; Enterobacteriaceae. RNAcentral also lists the same sequence under 16 other names.